Molecule: small RNA, 140 nt
Filed under: Paraburkholderia fungorum
Lineage: Bacteria; Pseudomonadati; Pseudomonadota; Betaproteobacteria; Burkholderiales; Burkholderiaceae
Description: sbcD RNA
Rfam family: sbcD RNA
Source: RNAcentral
CCUGCGGCGGAAUGAAUAUCUUCCGAAAAUGGGCUGUUACGCAGCGUGACCAUGCUGCGCGAGGGCGACUUACGUCCUCGUAUAUGAGCCUUAGGGCUCCCUGAGCGCCACGACCCCGGAAGGGUCGUGGCGCCCGGGUC